GACGAACGCUGGCGGCGUGCUUAACACAUGCAAGUCGAACGAAAAGGCCCAGCUUGUGGGGGGUGCUCGAGUGGCGAACGGGUGUGUAACGCGUGUGUCCCCCGCCCUUCACUUUGAUAUAACUUCGGAAAGGUGGGGCUAAUCCCGUAUGGGAGCUCCCGCUACGUGGAGUUGCUUGGAAAGUUUCGGCGGUUGGGGAUGGACUCGCGGCCUAUCAGCUUGUUGGUGGGGUAGUGGCUUACCAAGGCCUUGACGGGUAGCCGGCCUGAGAGGGUGACCGGCCACACUGGGACUGAGACACGGCCCAGACUCCUACGGGAGGCAGCAGUGGGGAAUAUUGCACAAUGGGCGGAAGCCUGAUGCAGCAACGCCGCGUGCGGGACGACGGCCUUCGGGUUGUAAACCGCUUUUGGCAGGGAAGAAGCGAGAGUGACGGUAACUGCUAAAGAAGCACCGGCUAACUACGUG
This 468-nucleotide ribosomal RNA is filed under the name uncultured bacterium. RNAcentral's name for it is "partial 16S ribosomal RNA". It matches the Rfam family "Bacterial small subunit ribosomal RNA", at positions 28 to 507 of the family's 1533-position model. The record is from RNAcentral.